This 376-nucleotide ribosomal RNA is filed under the name uncultured bacterium. RNAcentral's name for it is "bacterial SSU rRNA". It matches the Rfam family "Bacterial small subunit ribosomal RNA", at positions 524 to 898 of the family's 1533-position model. The record is from RNAcentral.
UACGUAGGGAGCGAGCGUUGUCCGGAAUCAUUGGGCGUAAAGAGCGCGUAGGUGGAUCGGUCAGUCUGCUGUGAAAGUCAAAGGCUCAACCUUUGAAAGCCGGUGGAUACUGCCAAUCUAGAGUGCGGAAGAGGCGAGUGGAACUCCUGGUGUAGCGGUGGAAUGCGCAGAUAUCAGGAAGAACACCGAUAGCGAAGGCAGCUCGCUGGGACGCUACUGACACUGAGGCGCGAAAGCGUGGGGAGCAAACAGGAUUAGAUACCCUGGUAGUCCACGCCGUAAACGAUGGGUACUAGGUGUGGGAGGUGUCGACUCCUCCCGUACCGCAGCUAACGCACUAAGUACCCCGCCUGGGGAGUACGGCCGCAAGGCUAAA